AAAAAUUCUGCUUGCCGUCUUUAAAAAGCUUGAUGGUCAAAAUAAUAGAGGCACCACUUCCGAGUGGAAAAAAGAACAUUUCCUUCUCUUUUUUUGCCUUAUUAUUUUCUGAGCUUGUACAAUAUAGCCAAACUCGAGUAAGUUCCGUUCCAGAACUUGAAAAAAGGUUGGCAGAAGUUGGCCGUAGAGUAGGAAUUCGCUUUCUUGAACUUCUACAAUUUCGGGAUAAAAGUUUUAGGCAUCAUAUAGAUUUAAUACAAGUACUUUAUUAUAUAAACUCCACUGUCUGGAAAUCUUUGUUUGGGUAUCCCGCAGGUGUAAUUGAGAUGGAGAAAUCCGCUGAUCAGGACACAUAUAUGAUUAGUGACCAAAGUAUGCUAUUGAACACCUAUAUAUCUGUCCCUCGCGAUAAGAGUGGAUUGAAUUGCGCUGCUUUUGUAAGUGGAAUCGUGGAGGCGGUUUUGGAAGGGACAAAUUUCCCUGCUAAGGUUAGCGUUCAUAACACUCAUCGCGGGACCACCAUACUUAUGAAGUUUGAAAAGCACGUUCUGCAAAGAAACUCAAGCAAAAUAUAAGUAGCAUAUAAGUGAGUAAGAGAAGAGCUCCA
Zophobas morio is the source of this 607-nucleotide long non-coding RNA. RefSeq lists it as uncharacterized. Lineage: Eukaryota; Metazoa; Arthropoda; Insecta; Coleoptera; Tenebrionidae. The transcript has 6 exons. The record is from RefSeq and is a predicted model, not a curated record.